CUCCUUUUUGUGUGGUUUUUCUAAGUCUAUUUUUGGUGUUGGAUAUAUAUAUACUCAAACCUGAUGAUAACUAAUUUUAGAAGAAUGGUUCAGGGCUUCUAGAGGUUUUCUAUGAAUUCUAUCUGUGGUGGUGAAAAAGUUAUGAAGGUUGUCAAAUUCCUUAAACAAGCUCUGAGAACAUUGUGGAAUAGAGAUAUUGUCGGUAACACUGGUGAAAAAACUUAAAGCUUUAGAGAAAGAAGUUAAGACUUUAGAGAAUAAUAAAGAAAGUAGGGACCUGUCUUUUGAAAAAUAGGACAGGCCAUCUUGCUCAAAACUGAAAUUCUAGAAACUUUUGUCAUCUUUGUCUAUCUCUCUAGAGGUACCAUUCACAUUGGAUGAGGUUAAAGAAAUUAUUUGGGACUGUGAUAGUAACAAAGCACCUGAACUUGAUGGUGUUAACCUAAAAAAAGCUCACCUGGUCACAUUUCACAUACAUUUUUGUCUGUGCUGUUGUUGUUAGGGUGUUGAAAUAGCAGGGAGUUUCUAGUUGUUGUUGAUGUAGGUAUUGCGGGGGAAGUUGGGAGGGACUUUUCAUAGAUAGAGAGAGCGAGAGCGAGAGAGAGACUGUGGAUGUGGUAACAUGUGAGAUCGUGAGUGGAAGGGACGGCGGCCAUGAUAGUUUUUCGUUUCUCUCCUUUUUUGCAGGUUAGGUAAGGGUGGCCCGAGUGGACAGAUAUACUUACUAUAUGUAUACACACAGAUACAGACAUGGCUUAUACUGGAACUUGAUUUGGCAGGAUUCCGGAGGCUAUUAUCCUUUUCAUUCUUUCAACCGCCGUAUACAUAUGUUGACAUUGAUGGAAGUUUUCAUGUACCCCACCACCACUCAUUGCUCCCAAAGACUUCCUCUUCUCAACCCACCACACCUCUCUCUCUUUUGUUUCUUAUGAGAACGGACAUGAAUACCAGCUACUCAAGAAUCGAUUUGAGCUGCAGACACUCCCUUUCUCUCACAUAUUUGAUUGAUAUAAUAUUCGUUUGUCAUAACCCUUUUUUUCUCUCUCUUUUUUCAGGCUACUUAACGUUCUUCACCAAAAGAGGCGGAACUGGACGCCGCCGCCUCAGCCAUCCCGAAGUUCAAAACAAUCUUUAUUUCGAGUCUUAAACUGUGUAUAUAAAACACCCUUUUAGAAUGAAAAAAACAAAGAUAUUCUUUGGUCUCUAA
This 1207-nucleotide long non-coding RNA is filed under the name Populus trichocarpa (black cottonwood). RNAcentral's name for it is "long non-coding RNA (PTRI_LNC000654)". The record is from RNAcentral. Lineage: Eukaryota; Viridiplantae; Streptophyta; Magnoliopsida; Malpighiales; Salicaceae.